UGCAAGUCGAACGGAAAGGNCCUUCGGGGUGCUCGAGUGGCGAACGGGUGAGUAACACGUGGGUGAUCUGCCCUGCACUUUGGGAUAAGCCUGGGAAACUGGGUCUAAUACCGAAUACACCCUGCUGGUCGCAUGGCCUGGUGGGGGAAAGCUUUUGCGGUGUGGGAUGGGCCCGCGGCCUAUCAGCUUGUUGGUGGGGUUAUGGCCCACCAAGGCGACGACGGGUAGCCGGCCUGAGAGGGUGACCGGCCACACUGGGACUGAGAUACGGCCCAGACUCCUACGGGAGGCAGCAGUGGGGAAUAUUGCACAAUGGGCGCAAGCCUGAUGCAGCGACGCCGCGUGAGGGAUGACGGCCUUCGGGUUGUAAACCUCUUUCAGUAGGGACGAAGCGCAAGUGACGGUACCUAUAGAAGAAGGACCGGCCAACUACGUGCCAGCAGCCGCGGUAAUACGUAGGGUCCGAGCGUUGUCCGGAAUUACUGGGCGUAAAGAGCUCGUAGGUGGUUUGUCGCGUUGUUCGUGAAAACUCACAGCUCAACUGUGGGCGUGCGGGCGAUACGGGCAGACUGGAGUACUGCAGGGGAGACUGGAAUUCCUGGUGUAGCGGUGGAAUGCGCAGAUAUCAGGAGGAACACCGGUGGCGAAGGCGGGUCUCUGGGCAGUAACUGACGCUGAGGAGCGAAAGCGUGGGGAGCGAACAGGAUUAGAUACCCUGGUAGUCCACGCCGUAAACGGUGGGUACUAGGUGUGGGUUUCCUUCCUUGGGAUCCGUGCCGUAGCUAACGCAUUAAGUACCCCGCCUGGGGAGUACGGCCGCAAGGCUAAAACUCAAAGAAAUUGACGGGGGCCCGCACAAGCGGCGGAGCAUGUGGAUUAAUUCGAUGCAACGCGAAGAACCUUACCUGGGUUUGACNUGCACAGGACGCUGGUAGAGAUAUCAGUUCCCUUGUGGCCUGUGUGC
This 964-nucleotide ribosomal RNA is filed under the name Mycobacterium sp. URHB0021. RNAcentral describes it as "bacterial SSU rRNA". It matches the Rfam family "Bacterial small subunit ribosomal RNA", at positions 56 to 1035 of the family's 1533-position model. The record is from RNAcentral. Lineage: Bacteria; Bacillati; Actinomycetota; Actinomycetes; Mycobacteriales; Mycobacteriaceae.